Molecule: ribosomal RNA, 253 nt
Filed under: uncultured bacterium
Lineage: Bacteria
Description: partial 16S ribosomal RNA
Rfam family: Bacterial small subunit ribosomal RNA
Source: RNAcentral
UACGAAGGGGGCGAGCGUUGUUCGGAUUCAUUGGGCGUAAAGGGUGCGUAGGCGGCGCGGUAAGUCGGGUGUGAAAUCUCGGGGCUUAACUCCGAAACUGCAUUCGAUACUACCGUGCUUGAGGACUGGAGAGGAGACUGGAAUUUACGGUGUAGCGGUGAAAUGCGUAGAUAUCGUAAGGAAGACCAGUGGCGAAGGCGGGUCUCUGGACAGUUCCUGACGCUGAGGCACGAAGGUCAGGGGAGCAAACGGG